UGGGUAAUCUGCCCUCGAUUCUGGGAUAGCCCGGGGAAACCCGGAUUAAUACCGGAUAGCCUUUCGGGCUUUCGAGCUCGUUAGAAAAGGUAGCUUCGGCCUCCGAUCGAGGAUGAGCCCGCGGCGGAUUAGCUUGUUGGUGGGUAAUGGCCUACCAAGGCGACGAUCCGUAGCUGGUCUGAGAGGACGAUCAGCCACACUGGGACUGAGACACGGCCCAGACCUCCGUACGGGAGCAG
RNAcentral lists this ribosomal RNA (239 nucleotides) under uncultured bacterium. Its description in RNAcentral is "partial 16S ribosomal RNA". It matches the Rfam family "Bacterial small subunit ribosomal RNA", at positions 118 to 347 of the family's 1533-position model. The record is from RNAcentral.